Molecule: long non-coding RNA, 506 nt
Filed under: Hordeum vulgare
Lineage: Eukaryota; Viridiplantae; Streptophyta; Magnoliopsida; Poales; Poaceae
Description: long non-coding RNA (HVUL_LNC000389)
Source: RNAcentral
AGCCUUUGAUUUCCUUGUGAUGUUCUUUUCACAAAGGAAAUUUGGUCAGUAGGGCAGUGUGUGUGUGUGUGUAGCGGCCGAGUCGAGGCGGCCAAAGGCUUUUAGCCGAAAGCGGUGCGGUCAAGAAAGGGAGGGAGGCCGACGAAAUCAAGGCGUUUUUCUGAUUGCGGACAGGAUUGGGUUGUUGAUUAGCAGCUUCUAGCAGUGGAGGAAUAUGUGGAUGGGGUUUUUCUUUUCUUUUUUGAGGGAGAAGGACAUGUGGGUGUUAUUAUGCUAUCUGUACGCAAUGAGUGUCUACCCGUUCUGAAUUAGCAAGGCGUUUUCUUUUAUGCUGUUUUUAGAAUAUGUUUUCUUUUUCUCCAAGCUACGCUUUUAUGCUUUUAUUGAGCUGUCUUUGGUCUGAAUUUUGGAGGUUUUUUCAUUGGUCUUACGUCGGGAACAAAAAUGCGACCACUUUGUAAGUUAAUUUGCUUGACACUGUUAGUAAAUAAUAUAUAGCUUUGUGC